Molecule: ribosomal RNA, 815 nt
Filed under: Ascopolyporus galloides
Lineage: Eukaryota; Fungi; Ascomycota; Sordariomycetes; Hypocreales; Cordycipitaceae
Description: partial 28S ribosomal RNA
Rfam family: Eukaryotic large subunit ribosomal RNA
Source: RNAcentral
UGCCCCAGUAACGGCGAGUGAAGCGGCAACAGCUCAAAUUUGAAAUCUGGUCCCCAGGGCCCGAGUUGUAAUUUGUAGAGGAUGCUUUUGGCGCGGCGCCUUCCGAGUUCCCUGGAACGGGACGCCAUAGAGGGUGAGAGCCCCGUCUGGUCGGAUGCCAAGCCUCUGUAAAGCUCCUUCGACGAGUCGAGUAGUUUGGGAAUGCUGCUCAAAAUGGGAGGUAUAUGUCUUCUAAAGCUAAAUAUUGGCCAGAGACCGAUAGCGCACAAGUAGAGUGAUCGAAAGAUGAAAAGCACUUUGAAAAGAGGGUUAAACAGUACGUGAAAUUGUUGAAAGGGAAGCGCCUAUGACCAGACUUGGGCCCGGUGAAUCAUCCAGCGUUCUCGCUGGUGCACUUUGCCGGGCACAGGCCAGCAUCAGUUUGGCGCGGGGGAGAAAGGCUUUGGGAACGUGGCUCCCCCGGGAGUGUUAUAGCCCAUUGCGCAAUACCCUGCGCCGGACUGAGGUACGCGCAUUGCAAGGAUGCUGGCGUAAUGGUCAUCAGCGACCCGUCUUGAAACACGGACCAAGGAGUCGUCUUCGUAUGCGAGUGUUCGGGUGUCAAACCCCUACGCGUAAUGAAAGUGAACGCAGGUGAGAGCUUCGGCGCAUCAUCGACCGAUCCUGAUGUUCUCGGAUGGAUUUGAGUAAGAGCAUACGGGGCCGGACCCGAAAGAAGGUGAACUAUGCCUGUAUAGGGUGAAGCCAGAGGAAACUCUGGUGGAGGCUCGCAGCGGUUCUGACGUGCGAAUCGAUCGUCAAAUAUGGGCAUGGGG